This is a long non-coding RNA of Chelonia mydas (Green sea turtle), 1915 nucleotides long. RefSeq lists it as uncharacterized. Lineage: Eukaryota; Metazoa; Chordata; Testudines; Cheloniidae. The transcript has 2 exons. The record is from RefSeq and is a predicted model, not a curated record.
GAGGGGAUGGGGGAAGAGACUAGCGCACGCCCUUCCCCUUGUGACAGGAACCGAGUAGGAGCCGCCACCGAUUCCUCCCGACUCUCAAGCCCAGGGCCCCCAACUUGGGCUACACCGGGUUUUCCGGCAGCGAUGGCGCAAAAUGCUUAGAGGUCUGCUCGAACUCCAAAUCCAGGUCCUUUGGGGGGUUCAGUCAGAGAAGUAAGACCACCAACUGGCUCACAAGAAAAGCGUCCAUUUCUGAAAAGAUGAAAGAGCAAUUAGAUUUGUUCAUCAAUUUGUUCAGAUUUGUUCAUCAGUAUUGUAACAAUCAUCUUUUACCCAUGAAUGACAAGUCUGACUCAAUCUUUGGGCUACCAUUUUUCCUGUUUCUCUGAACGAUGAGCAGAGAGAAAGGGGAGGAGGAACAACAGAACAUAGUAUCUGUAAAAAUACUAGUGGUAAAUCAAAGGCAUUCAAGUAGAAUGUCAAAUAUGGAACUUGAUAACCAAAAUACAUACUUCAUAGAUACAAAAAUUAAAUCUAUAGGAUUAACAAAAAAACCAGGAGCCAAUGGCUUUUUUACUCCAGCAGUACCAACGGCAACAUCUGAUUAUUUGUUUCAGAUCCAUCUAGAUUCAUAUAUUCCAAGGCCAGAAUUGACCAUCAUCAUCAUCUUGUCUGACCUCCUUGUAUAGCACAGGCCAUAGAACUUUCCCAAAUUCCUGGAGCAUAUCUUUUAGAAAAACAUCCAAUCUUGAUGUAAAAACUGCCAAUGAUGAAGAAUCCACCACAAUCCUUGGUAAAUUGUUCCCAUUAUUAAUUACCUUCACUGUUAAAAAUGUACGCCUUAUUUCCAGUCUGAAUUUGUCUAGAUUCAAUUUCCAACCACUCGAUUGUGUUAUACCUUUCUCUACUAGAGCCCAUUAUCAAAUAUUUGUUCUCCAUAUAGGUAUUUACAGAUUAAUAUAAUCAAAUUACCUCUUAACAUACUUUGUUUUGAGUCCAUCACUAUAAGGGAUGUUUUCUAACCCUUUAGUCAUUCUCAUGGCUCUUCUCUGAACUCUCUCCAAUUUAUCUGCAUCCUUCUUGAGCUGUGGACACCAGAACUGGACACAGUAUUCCAGCAGUGGUGACACCAAAUACAGAGGUAAAAUAACCUCUACUCAUUUGAGAUUCCCAUUUAUGCGUCCAACAAGGAUUGUAUUAGCCCUUUGGGCCACAGUAUUACACUGGGAAUGCAUGUUCAGGUGAUUAUCUUUCAUGAUAUUGUUCAGCAUCAAUUAGCUCCCCCAUUCAUACCUCUUCCUAUGCGUUUGAAAUUGUGCAGGAACAGUGGGAAUUAAAAAGGGGGGUGGGGGAGACAAGUCAGUCUUUCACAAGGGUCAAAUCCAGCCUAGGUUUGUAGGGAUCAAAAGUCUACCAGCUAGUAGUGUUUUUGGUGAUUUAUGCAAAAUAAGUUUGUGAUUACAUUCCACUUCCUAUCAGGCAUAUAGCCACUUCAGACCCAACAUCUCAACUGGCACUUUCUUUGAUAGUCUGAAACAGGCCAAGGAUCGAAGAGUUCUGGACAUGAAGCUUUCCUCUCACCUCUACACACAGCCUCUCCAGGUUCAGGUUUAUGCAUAUAGCAGGUCAAUGUGGAAAAUGUGUAAUGCCUGUGCAGUUCAGUGAAUUAAUAAUGCCUUCAGUUCUACAGUAAUCACUCCAGUAACUUUUCCUAGAACUAGUCGCCGACAUUAAAAAUAGCUUUCCUUCCAAAAAGAUUUUCUCUUUCAUUACUCGCCCCUGUAUUAUACAAAUACAAUUUACCUAGGGCCAGGUUUGGGAACUUUGCCAGCCUUUAGUUCAUCGAUUAUGUCUUCAAUAUCUUUUGGUGUCAGAUCUUCCUGUAAAAUGAAAGAGACCAUGCUAUUAAAGAAAAUUUAAAACAACA